UACAGAGGUCGCAAGCGUUAAUCGGAUUUACUGGGCGUAAAGCGUGUGUAGGUGGUUGUGCAAGUCGGUUGUGAAAUCCCCGGGCUCAACCUGGGAAUGGCAUUUGGGACUGCAAGGCUGGAGUUUGGCAGAGGAGACUGGAAUUCCUGGUGUAGCAGUGAAAUGCGUAGAUAUCAGGAGGAAUACCGAUGGCGAAGGCAGGUCUCUGGGCUAUAACUGACGCUCAUGCACGAAAGCGUGGGGAGCAAACAGG
This 253-nucleotide ribosomal RNA is filed under the name uncultured bacterium. RNAcentral describes it as "partial 16S ribosomal RNA". It matches the Rfam family "Bacterial small subunit ribosomal RNA", at positions 524 to 776 of the family's 1533-position model. The record is from RNAcentral.